Molecule: long non-coding RNA, 1665 nt
Filed under: Nicotiana tabacum (common tobacco)
Lineage: Eukaryota; Viridiplantae; Streptophyta; Magnoliopsida; Solanales; Solanaceae
Description: long non-coding RNA (NTAB_LNC014940)
Source: RNAcentral
CCAAGUUCAAAGGUAAAGACAGAGAUGAGCACACAGAGCAACGAAAUUCGACAAUGAAUGUAGAAUUUGAUAAGACAAAACGUAAAGGAGCAACACCUAAUGAACCAACAUGUUCUAGAUUUUGACUACAUCAUGCUCAUUGACAAACAUACUAAUCAGAACAUCUCCCACCUAAAUAUUACAUGCUGUGAAUGAAAUCAUAAGGAAAAGAGAUGAAGCUCGAACAACAGCAUCAGAUUUCAUUAACUUCACAAAUAUACACUUCAAACUACACUUAAGUGAUGUCCAUAGGGCCAAAGUAUACCUGGAAUAUGAAAGGAAAUAAAGCAAUGUGGGGUCAGAAGCCAAGCAGCAAUACAGCAGAACCCAGCAGCAGGAAAUAACCAGCAAAACCAAUUUCAAACCAACAAAUGAUGUGCAGCAGUCCAAAAAAUAAUUUUAAUCGAACAGUGACCACAGCAAGCUUCAAACCAAACUUUUAAAAAUUCACAACUCAAACUAAUUCGAUCCAAAGCAAGACCUAGUCAUUUUCAGCAACUUUAAUUAAGCGAUGAGGAUCAGAAAACCAAGAAACCAGCAAAAUUUUGUAGUUUUCGGCCAGAAAAAUGCAGGGAGUUCUGAGUGCAGCUAUUUCAGUUUUUGAAUCCUUCCUCUCCUCCUAUUUUCAAUGCCAAGUAAAGGUGCCUUUAUAGGCAAGGCAUUAGGGGAGCUAUAAAAUGUUCAAUUUUACCCUUUAGUCCUUCUCUAAUUUUUGUUUUUGCUUAGGGGUCCUUUAUUUAAAUUUCAGAGCUUCAAAUCAGUCCCUCUCCCCAGCUUCCCUGAAGCUUCCUAUUCAGUUACACUCAAGAUUCCCUAAGCUAGACUACCCAAAUUACCCCUUAAUGACCCAUUUUUUACUGCUGAAACCUAUGAGUAUGGGUCAAGCUGAUCCUGGGCUGAAUUAAUUCAAACCCCAACCCAAACCAUGAUCCUGAACCUAAAGGCAUGAACCAAAUAUUCUGAGGAGAAACAAAAACAGAAACCUAUUUGAAUAAUUUUCAAAGUCCAAUUACUGAACUAGAACUAACAGAAUUAACAAAUCGAAUCUAACCUAAUUAACAAACUAAAACAUACUAAUUAAAGAAAGAGGUUUAGAACUAACAUGCAUGACAAAACAACCCUUAAAAAACCAAAAAAAACGGAGAAGAAUCCAGAAGAAGAGACAGAAGCAGCAGAUAGAAAAUUGAGGGAAAGACAACGAAAGAAAUGGGAAAAUACCUAAGAGCCUUGAACGAAUGAGAAGUAUAGACUGACGCUUCGAACUCUUCAGAUUCCGGAACAAUCCGAGAUUAAUCGUGUGUUUUUUUUUACCAAAACACAAGAAUAAAGUCGGAAUGGACCUAAAAUCUUCAAUAAGAUCCUAAAUUAGAGAUUUGGGAUUUUAGGGUUCAAUCUUUGAUUUACGAUUCGAAAGGUUCAGGGGUGAUUCGAGGGAAUAGAGUUAGGGACUGGGAACGAGGGGAGUGAGGGCAUUCUGGGGUAUCGAUUUGGGCGUGAUUGGAGGAGGCGCAGCCAGGUUCAAGGCGGUGGGAAUAGUGGCGGCGUUAGGGUUUUGAACCUGAUCUUUGAAGUGAGAGGGUGAGGGAGACGAUGAGGAAAGGGGGGGAUGGGUUUGUUAGGACAUUC